Molecule: transfer-messenger RNA, 381 nt
Filed under: Vreelandella rituensis
Lineage: Bacteria; Pseudomonadati; Pseudomonadota; Gammaproteobacteria; Oceanospirillales; Halomonadaceae
Description: Halomonas rituensis Standard tmRNA
Rfam family: transfer-messenger RNA
About the family: Bacterial tmRNA, also known as 10Sa RNA or SsrA, is named for its dual tRNA and mRNA-like properties. Its role is to liberate the mRNA from a stalled ribosome. To accomplish this part of the tmRNA is used as a reading frame that ends in a translation stop signal.
Source: RNAcentral
GGGGGCGACAUGGUUUCGACGCCGGUGACAACCCCUGCGGUGCAUGCCGAGAGCGUGAUGUAUCUCGUAAAUCCAACAUCACGACAAAUAGUCGCAAACGACGACAACUACGCUCAGGGCGCGCUGGCAGCUUAAUAGCUGUUAGCUUCUUGUCCGGCCCCGAAGUGCUGUGCCCAUUCAGCACGGACGGGAUACGAGCUAAAAAUAAUGGGAUCGCAGUUGGUGGUGUCUUCGCGCCAAUUGCUAAACCUUAAGAAGGCUCGCGUUACUGGAUCCUGAUCGUCGGAGCCGGUAGCGUUAAAAUAAAUGACGUAAUCUAAGCAUGUAGAGCCAAUGGGCGAGUGCUGGCGGACGCGGGUUCAAUUCCCGCCGCCUCCACCA